UUGAUGUUUUUUUGAAUAAAUCAGCAAAAUUUAAGGAUGGAAAAUGGGUUUACUGCAUAACAUAUGUCGAACAUCGAAGGUAUUGCUACCGUAUCACUGCUUCAUUCCUUCAUCCCAACUCAUUGGUUGCCAUUUUCCAUUGUGGGUCAUGCUAAAAAAUGGACUCUUUCAAGAACCCUUUUCGUCACUUAUCAAACAACCUUGUCUAAAGCUUCUUUUCAAAAAGCAGUCAAAGGUGGUCAUGGAGCUUAUGCGCCGCAUGGAAUUUAGGGAGUUGGAAGACAAAAAGUCUUGCCCUUGUUGUUAUUUUAGUUGUACCUCAUCUGGAGGGGGAUCCUUAAGGAGGGGUAUUCAUCCUCGCUUUAGUAUACAUGUUCAUGCAGUUAUGUAAGUGUCUCAGGGAUGUAAUCUUGGACAAAGUUUCUACAACUUGGGUCAAGACUUAUAAAGGUUGCUAUUAGAGGUUUUCA
Solanum pennellii is the source of this 470-nucleotide long non-coding RNA. RefSeq lists it as uncharacterized. NCBI's taxonomy places the organism in Eukaryota, Viridiplantae, Streptophyta, Magnoliopsida, Solanales, Solanaceae. The transcript has 2 exons. The record is from RefSeq and is a predicted model, not a curated record.